This 784-nucleotide ribosomal RNA is filed under the name Cercospora sp. Q JZG-2013. RNAcentral describes it as "eukaryotic LSU rRNA". It matches the Rfam family "Eukaryotic large subunit ribosomal RNA", at positions 76 to 889 of the family's 3401-position model. Lineage: Eukaryota; Fungi; Ascomycota; Dothideomycetes; Mycosphaerellales; Mycosphaerellaceae. The record is from RNAcentral.
UGCCCUAGUAACGGCGAGUGAAGCGGCAACAGCUCAAAUUUGAAAUCUGGCGCAAGCCCGAGUUGUAAUUUGUAGAGGAUGCUUCUGGGUAGCGACCGAUCUAAGUUCCUUGGAACAGGACGUCAUAGAGGGUGAGAAUCCCGUAUGUGACCGGCCCGCACCCUUUACGUAGCUCCUUCGACGAGUCGAGUUGUUUGGGAAUGCAGCUCUAAAUGGGAGGUAAAUUUCUUCUAAAGCUAAAUACCGGCCAGAGACCGAUAGCGCACAAGUAGAGUGAUCGAAAGAUGAAAAGUACUUUGGAAAGAGAGUUAAAAAGCACGUGAAAUUGUUGAAAGGGAAGCGCCUGCAACCAGACUUCGCGGCAGUGUUCCGCCGGUCUUCUGACCGGUUCAUUCUCUGUCGCGAGGCCAUCAUCGUCUGGGCCCGCCGGAUAAGACCUGAGGAAUGUGGCUCCCCCUCGGGGGAGUGUUAUAGCCUCUGGUGAUGCGGCGUGGCUCGGGCGAGGUCCGCGCUUCGGCAAGGAUGAUGGCGUAAUGGUUGUCGGCGGCCCGUCUUGAAACACGGACCAAGGAGUCUAACAUCUAUGCGAGUGUUCGGGUGUCAAACCCCUACGCGUAAUGAAAGUGAACGGAGGUGGGAACCGCAAGGUGCACCAUCGACCGAUCCUGAUGUCCUCGGAUGGAUUUGAGUAAGAGCAUAGCUGUUGGGACCCGAAAGAUGGUGAACUAUGCCUGAAUAGGGUGAAGCCAGAGGAAACUCUGGUGGAGGCUCGCAGCGGUUCUGA